UACGUAGGGUGCAAGCGUUAAUCGGAAUUACUGGGCGUAAAGCGUGCGCAGGCGGUGAUGUAAGACAGAUGUGAAAUCCCCGGGCUCAACCUGGGAACUGCAUUUGUGACUGCAUCGCUGGAGUGCGGCAGAGGGGGAUGGAAUUCCGGGUGUAGCAGUGAAAUGCGUAGAUAUGCGGAGGAACACCGAUGGCGAAGGCAAUCCCCUGGGCCUGCACUGACGCUCAUGCACGAAAGCGUGGGGAGCAAACAGG
This 253-nucleotide ribosomal RNA is filed under the name uncultured bacterium. Its description in RNAcentral is "partial 16S ribosomal RNA". It matches the Rfam family "Bacterial small subunit ribosomal RNA", at positions 524 to 776 of the family's 1533-position model. The record is from RNAcentral.